GUUGCACAGAGCUCUGGGUUCCUGGCUGUCAGAGGGAGGUCCUUGUGCGCCCUCUAGGAAACAGGACAAAGACGACAUGAAAAGCGGAUGUCUGUGCCUCCUUGUACCUUUGAGCAGAGUACUGUCCACAGCCAUAGCUGUCGCAUGUCCGGAUCUCAUUGGAAGAUUUGCUGGCACAUAUGUUAGCCCAUGGUCCUGCCAGGGCUGCAGAGGAGAGAGUAUAUAUGCUGUGAAGAAGAGCUGCAGAAUAUGGUUGGAUUCAACUGUACUUUCAACUUACCCGUGGAAAUCAAGGCAGCUGCAACGAGGACUGUUGUGGAAAACAUCUGGCUUUUGCUUCCUGUCUCUUCCUCUAAUUAGAAUUGCUCCGUGCACACACUGUUCAAGCUUGAGUUAAUAU
Molecule: long non-coding RNA, 400 nt
Organism: Microtus oregoni (creeping vole)
Lineage: Eukaryota; Metazoa; Chordata; Mammalia; Rodentia; Cricetidae
Exons: 3
Source: RefSeq, a predicted model, not a curated record